RNAcentral lists this ribosomal RNA (484 nucleotides) under uncultured bacterium. Its description in RNAcentral is "partial 16S ribosomal RNA". It matches the Rfam family "Bacterial small subunit ribosomal RNA", at positions 30 to 507 of the family's 1533-position model. The record is from RNAcentral.
AUUGAACGCUGGCGGCAGGCCUAACACAUGCAAGUCGAGCGGAAGCACGGAACUUGCUUCUGGUUACGGCGGCGGACGGGCGAGUAAUGCCUAGGAACCUGCCUGGCAGUGUGGGAUAACGUCCGGAAACGGGCGCUAAUACCGCAUACGUCCUGAGGGAGAAAGUGGGGGAUCUUCGGAUCUUACGCUCUUAGAUGAUCCUAUGUCGGAUUAGCUAGUUGGUGGGGUAAAGGCCUACCAAGGCGACGAUCCGUAACUGGUCUGAGAGGAUGAUCAGUCACACUGGAACUGAGACACGGUCCAGACUCCUACGGGAGGCAGCAGUGGGGAAUAUUGGACAAUGGGCGCAAGCCUGAUCCAGCCAUGCCGCGUGUGUGAAGAAGGUCUUCGGAUUGUAAAGCACUUUUGUUGGGGAGGAAGAGCAGUAAGUUAAUACCUUGCUGUUUUGACGGUACCAACAGAAUAAGCACCGGCUAACUUCGUG